This 403-nucleotide ribosomal RNA is filed under the name uncultured bacterium. Its description in RNAcentral is "partial 16S ribosomal RNA". It matches the Rfam family "Bacterial small subunit ribosomal RNA", at positions 28 to 526 of the family's 1533-position model. The record is from RNAcentral.
GACGAACGCUGGCGGCGUGCCUAAUACAUGCAAGUCGAACGCAGUGGGGACGGGUGCGUACCACGUGGGUAACCUCCCAUCAGAGGGGAUAACACUUGGAAACAGGUGCUAAACCGAUACUGAUGGAUGGACCCGCUGUGCAUUAGAUAGUUGGUGAGGUAACGGCUCACCAAGGCCACGAUGCAUAGUCGACCUGAGAGCGUGAUCGGCCAAACGGAGACGGAGAAACGGCCCAGCAUCCAACGUGAGGACGCAGUAGGGAAGCAUCGGCAAUGGACUAAAGUCUGACCGAGCAACGCCGCGUUAGUUAAGAAGUUUUUCGGAUCGUAAAACUCUGUUGUUAGAGAAGCGGUAUCUAACCAGAAAGGCACGGCAAACUACGUGCCAGCAGCCGCGGGAAUUC